Molecule: ribosomal RNA, 798 nt
Filed under: Enterobacter sp. BHU5
Lineage: Bacteria; Pseudomonadati; Pseudomonadota; Gammaproteobacteria; Enterobacterales; Enterobacteriaceae
Description: bacterial SSU rRNA
Rfam family: Bacterial small subunit ribosomal RNA
Source: RNAcentral
UGCAAGUCGAGCGGCAGCGGAAGUAGCUUGCUACUUUGCCGGCGAGCGGCGGACGGGUGAGUAAUGUCUGGGAAACUGCCUGAUGGAGGGGGAUAACUACUGGAAACGGUAGCUAAUACCGCAUAACGUCGCAAGACCAAAGAGGGGGACCUUCGGGCCUCUUGCCAUCAGAUGUGCCCAGAUGGGAUUAGCUAGUAGGUGGGGUAACGGCUCACCUAGGCGACGAUCCCUAGCUGGUCUGAGAGGAUGACCAGCCACACUGGAACUGAGACACGGUCCAGACUCCUACGGGAGGCAGCAGUGGGGAAUAUUGCACAAUGGGCGCAAGCCUGAUGCAGCCAUGCCGCGUGUAUGAAGAAGGCCUUCGGGUUGUAAAGUACUUUCAGCGGGGAGGAAGGCGUUGAGGUUAAUAACCUCAGCGAUUGACGUUACCCGCAGAAGAAGCACCGGCUAACUCCGUGCCAGCAGCCGCGGUAAUACGGAGGGUGCAAGCGUUAAUCGGAAUUACUGGGCGUAAAGCGCACGCAGGCGGUCUGUCAAGUCGGAUGUGAAAUCCCCGGGCUCAACCUGGGAACUGCAUUCGAAACUGGCAGGCUAGAGUCUUGUAGAGGGGGGUAGAAUUCCAGGUGUAGCGGUGAAAUGCGUAGAGAUCUGGAGGAAUACCGGUGGCGAAUGCGGCCCCCUGGACAAAGACUGACGCUCAUGUGCGAAAGCGUGGGGAGCAAACAGGAUUAUAUACCCUGGUAGUCCACGCCGUAAACGAUGUCGACUUGGAGGUUGUGCCCUUGAGGCGUGGCU